CCCCUCCUGCAAACAAUCGAACGUCCGUGACACCCAAAGUCAUCGAUGCUUAAGGUCCCUAUUACAGAGUUUGGGCACUACACACAGGUCCGAUCAAACAGAACAGCCACUAGAGACCGAUACCUUGGUCAAAGUAGUGAUGCAAUUGGUUUGUGAUUAUGAGGACUCUGAAAACUUUAUCGAUGCGUCCAUUUAGUCACAUUUUCAACCGAAUUAUUUUGAUCCUGUGCAUUCUCGAUAUUGGGACUGUUUUCAGUAAAGAAAUUUAUGUCUCUCGCUGUCAUGGUAACAGCCAGCCUUCUUGUGGUGGAACAAUGAAGACAGCAUGUAAAUUGAUUGCUCUUGGUAUUGCACAUGCGCAGUGGAACGACACUAUUUCUAUAGAUGGCACUGAGACAUCACGUGAUCCAUACCCAUGCUUACCGACAACGUCACAGCCGGAUGGAAUUUACGUUAACAAAAGUUUAUCCUUGAGACGAUUCGGCAAAGCCAAGGUAUUCAUUAAAUGUUCAUCUUUGAGGCGAAUUAUUUUAGAUGGCAGUAACACAUCAGACACCGUAACUAUUUACCUGGAUGGACUCACAUUUAUUGAUAGCUGUAUUGCUGUUCGGAUGAGCACGCUCAAUGUCGUAAAUUGCAAUUUUAUAGAUGCUACAUCUCUCUCAAACGCAGCAGCCGUUGUUGAUUUUAAGACGUUCGAUGGGAACCAUUCUCUGCUAAUAGCCAAAUCUGUUUUUAGCAACAAUUCUCUUCCUUGUAUCAGUGUCGUUGGGAAUAACCUCAAAAUAGAAGUUUAUGAUACAGUGUUUACUGGAAAUAACGCAUCGGAAAGUAAAGUGAGAAUGGUGGAUGUGGCCGUGUUCAUGAUUUCGGUAAUACGUAUGAUGAGGUAUCCCUCGUCUAUGACAUUUAACAACGUCUCUUUCAUAAGAAACUUUGCGCUCAACGGAGGAUGUUUGCAUGUCAAAAAUGCCGAUAAUGUGAACGCAAGUGCGAGGUAUUUCAACCGAAACAGAGCAAACUAUAAGGACUUGGGCCAUAUUUUGCAAGCGCAUCCUAAGGAUCACAACUCUUUUCAUUCAACGUUGGAAUACAUUUCCGUGUCUGUGAGUGAAGGAAUGUUUCUUCAUAAUUUUGGGGGAGCAAUCAUUGUUGGCGGGAAUUUAGGCCUCGUUGACAUUUCUGUCGUAAAUUGUGACUUUAUCAAUAAUAGUUCUCCGCUAAGUGGAGGAGCCAUGCUGGUUGAGAGUAGCCGUGAAUUUCGCUUACAGAUUAAAGACUGCAAAUUUGUACAAAAUAGCGCCAGAAAUGAGGGCUCAGCGAUAUACAUCCUAGCGGUUGAUUUUAAAGUAGCUAAAGGUUUUCUCCUAGUCGAAAAUGUUUCGUUUCAAAGAAACAUACUUCGACAACCUAAUUUUAUCGAGGAUGUUCCUUUGGGUGGUACUCUAACAAUUUGCGUAGAGUCAGCUUACCUUCAAGUAAACUUAGUUAAUGUUUCCUUUUGGCAUAAUAAGGUUGACAUGGGAAGUUCAACGUUACACUUGGAUGCUCGAAAUUCAGAGGUAACGAUUGUCGAUUGUAAUUUCCAUGGAAACUCACAGGAUGAGCGUUUCCCGUGCGGCUGGACGACCAUUUUAAUUUUCUCCAUUCAACUAAAGUUCACCCUGAACAGAACGAGCUUUUCCGAAAAUAUUGGAAGUCUUACAGCUGAUAAUAACACAUUGGCAGGACAGCCGGUAAAUUUCUUCGUGGGCGCAAGUUACGUAGCAAAUAUAACCAUAAGUGGCUUGUUGUACAGAAACAAUAGUGGAGGAGGAAUGCUCUUUAAACUGGGCUCAAAUGAUGUAAGUAGCUCGACAUUUUCCCUUGGGCAAUCGAUCUUUGAAAGCAACAAAUUUUUCUCCAUGGAGAUUAGGGCGUCUACAGGUGCCCAACUGGUAAUAAGACAAGUAAAUUUCACGGCAAACAAGUUUGAAAGUUCUGUCCUCCAAAGCUUGGCAUUGUUGUUCUUCUAUAUUCAAAAUCAGGGAAGUAAGGUAAAGAUUGAGGAGGCAACCUUUAAAUACAAUAGUAUACAGGGUAGGAUCUUACUGUUUCGAUUACCACCCGACCAGAAAGAUCCACUUUCAUGUAAAAUUCCAAGAUGGAUCUACAGAAACUACAUCCAACUCUUUAACGCUACUUUUGACGGAAAUAGCGCCGAUACCUCGGUUGUGCGUUUAGAAAACGGCCACAAUAACCUCAGCAACUCUCAAUUUGUAGACAAUUUAGCCAUAUACACUCUUUUUGCUUCAGAAGGGUCCACCAGUCUUGAGUUGGUCGACACAUCUUUUGAUCAGACGAAGAAUUGGCAAAAUGGACUGGCAGUCCAUAUAGCAGUUAUGGUUCCUUCCUUUACAGGAUUCAUUUACUGGGCAAGUUCAGGACCAAUCCAACUAAGUAACACUACUCUCUCGGUUGAGUCCUCUCAGGACAUCGAUGCUUAUUUUAUGGUCACGGGAGCAAGUGAAGCAAAGAUUGAUGAUACAUCGGUCAUUCAGUGUCCAGUUGGAACUUUGAGAAAAAAGGUUCUGUGAUCACAACAAGGAAAAUAUCGCCGUAACGCAGCGAAGGAAAGAUUUGCAAUUACUGUUCAAAUUAGAAUCGGAAUGAAGAUUGGUUGAGUCCAGUCUACAUUAAAAGGAUCAUCUAACGGUAUCACUUUCCUCCUCUUGAGUCUCGUGUUACGUUUGGACAACAAGGAUCUUCAGGUCUUCUGCUGAGAACAACAGGAAAAUUCGAAACACCACAGAAGCGUGUCUGACAGAAACAUUGCUUCUAUUUGCCUCUCG
This 2831-nucleotide unclassified non-coding RNA is filed under the name Stylophora pistillata. RNAcentral describes it as "uncharacterized LOC111343718, transcript variant X3". The record is from RNAcentral. Lineage: Eukaryota; Metazoa; Cnidaria; Anthozoa; Scleractinia; Pocilloporidae.